This 266-nucleotide long non-coding RNA is filed under the name Lathyrus oleraceus (garden pea). RNAcentral's name for it is "Pisum sativum (pea) long non-coding RNA (PSAT_LNC012035)". The record is from RNAcentral. Lineage: Eukaryota; Viridiplantae; Streptophyta; Magnoliopsida; Fabales; Fabaceae.
UUUUACAGGUGUUAGAGUCUUAAGUCUUGGAAAGUGCAUUUCUUUUUUUUUUUCUUUUAGGACAUACACACGUCUCUUCUUUUUGCAUUACUUUUAGAUCUCUUCUUAUGCACUUGCCCUUUCUUUCAAGAUUACCACCCCAAACUUAGCUUUUUGCAUAUUUUGUAACUUACAACAAUCUUGCCGAUUAAUGGAGGAAAUGAAUGAUUAAUGGUUAAAAUGGGGUUUAUUACGAACAAAAAGGCUAAGGCUCAACGGGGUUCACG